Molecule: long non-coding RNA, 678 nt
Organism: Mytilus californianus (California mussel)
Lineage: Eukaryota; Metazoa; Mollusca; Bivalvia; Mytilida; Mytilidae
Exons: 2
Source: RefSeq, a predicted model, not a curated record
AGGGGAAUGCUGGUAUUGAUUUUGGGGGUAAUUGCCUCAAAAUUUUAGGAAUUAGGGGCCAAAAAAGGGGCAAAAACAAGCAUUUUUCUAGUUUCAUGACAAUCACUUGUGUGUAAGUGUAUGGAUCUUUCUGAAAUUGUUCUACAAGGUUCCAUAUCACAAAGGGAAAGCUGGAAUUGAGUUUGGGGGUUAUUGCCCAAACCGUUUAGGAAUAAGGGGCCAAAAAGGGGCCAAAAAUAAGCAUUUUUCUAGUUUCCAGACAAUAACGUGUGUUCAAGUGUAUGGAUCUUUAUGAAAUUGUACUACAAGGUUCCAUAUCACAAAGGGAAAGCUGGGUUUGAGUUUGGGGGUAAUUGCCUAAAACGGUUAGGAAUAAGGGGCCAAAAAGGGCCAACAAUAAGCAUUUUUCUAGUUUCCAGACAAUAACUUGUGUUCAAGUGUAUGGAUCUCUCUGAAAUUGUACUGCAAGGUACCAUACCACAAAGGAAAGGCUGGGAUUGAUUUUGGGGGUAAUUGCCUCAAAAUGUUAGGAAUUAGGGGCCAAAAAGGGGCAAAAAACAAGCAUUUUUCUAGUUUCAGGACAAUAACUUGUGUGUAAGUGUAUGGAUCUUUAUGAAAUUGUACUGCAAGGUACCAUACCACAAAGGAAAGGCUGGGAUUGAUUUUGGGGGUAAUUGC